Molecule: long non-coding RNA, 620 nt
Filed under: Triticum aestivum (bread wheat)
Lineage: Eukaryota; Viridiplantae; Streptophyta; Magnoliopsida; Poales; Poaceae
Description: long non-coding RNA (TAES_LNC024163)
Source: RNAcentral
AAGCUCUUAUGUGCAUGCAAGCAUGGAGUCGUGCUAAUAUGUUUGGUAAUAAUCCAUUCAUUUCAGUCAUGAAUAAUUAUGAAUUGUAUUUUGUUUUCUUUGACUAUCUUCUAACUAAAUGUCGAAUAACUUUGCUUUAGAUAAUGUCACAUCCGACCACUUUGCGAUUCAAUCUGUUCUUGAAGAUGAACAAGAAGCUAUGGUAACAAUAUGUUGCAUCCAUUUACAACUUAUCCUGUUCAUACCAAUGAUAUUAUUGUGUACAUCCUUACCUUAUACUUUUUAUUUCUUUUGCAGGAGGAAUGUGAAUCUGAAAUCACCAUUGAAGACUAAAAUGAGCAAGUGGCGUGCAGGAGGGUCAUGUUGUUCGCAUUGAAGCAUGGGCGCACAUUGUUGUUGUUCAUUCCAUGUUGUUUGGCUCAUCGGCUGAUUGUUCUUAGCAGCAUUGCAAGUUUGCAAAUUAUUGUUUUUCUCAAUGUUAGUUUGUAAUGGAGAAUAAGACCUUUAAUUAUGUGUCAAUUGUCAUUGUGAACUUUUAUGUAAGUGCAAACCUGAUUCUGAUGGAUGAGUACCUGAAUUUAGACCUUUUUCUCAUCUUAAUUUUGUUACGUCAAUGCUAU